This is a long non-coding RNA of Homo sapiens (human), 328 nucleotides long. Ensembl annotates it as ATP binding cassette subfamily A member 17, pseudogene. Its record names the gene ABCA17P. The record is from Ensembl. Lineage: Eukaryota; Metazoa; Chordata; Mammalia; Primates; Hominidae.
CUACCCUCUCCUGUUCCAAAAGCCUGUCUGGUCAGAAUGGUGUGAUGAGCCCUCCUCUUCAGCUAGGAAAAUGACGGUGUUCAGAAAGUUAAAACUUCUUCGCUGGAAGGAUUUCAUCUUAAAGUUGUUUUAGGCUGUUCUUCAGUGUCUUUGUUUGAACGUUAUAUAAUUGAUGAUCCCAAAGCUUUCUACAUAUUGGCAGGAAUUGUUUUUGACCACAGCGUCAAUGACAGCAAUGGAUCUUUGCCACUUGCGGUUAAGUAUCAAUUGCGCUUCAGUUACUUUCAGAAGAAUUUUAUACUGGGGAAGAAUAUAUUUUUUCAAGAUG